CGACGUGAGGAACCUGCCUUUCGGAGGGGGACAACAGUUGGAAACGACUGCUAAUACCGCAUGAUACAUUUGGAUCGCAUGGUCUGAAUGUCAAAGAUUUAUCGCCGAAAGAUGGCCUCGCGUCUGAUUAGCUAGUUGGUGAGGUAAUGGCCCACCAAGGCGACGAUCAGUAGCCGGACUGAGAGGUUGGCCGGCCACAUUGGGACUGAGAUACGGCCCAGACUCCUACGGAAGGCAGCAG
RNAcentral lists this ribosomal RNA (241 nucleotides) under uncultured bacterium. RNAcentral's name for it is "partial 16S ribosomal RNA". It matches the Rfam family "Bacterial small subunit ribosomal RNA", at positions 113 to 354 of the family's 1533-position model. The record is from RNAcentral.